CGCACAAGCGGUGGAGCAUGUGGUUUAAUUCGACGCAACGCGCAGAACCUUACCAGCCCUUGACAUCCCGGUCGCGGACUCCAGAGAUGGAGUUCUUCAGUUCGGCUGGACCGGAGACAGGUGCUGCAUGGCUGUCGUCAGCUCGUGUCGUGAGAUGUUGGGUUAAGUCCCGCAACGAGCGCAACCCCCGUCCUUAGUUGCUACCAUUUAGUUGAGCACUCUAAGGAGACUGCCGGUGAUAAGCCGCGAGGAAGGUGGGGAUGACGUCAAGUCCUCAUGGCCCUUACGGGCUGGGCUACACACGUGCUACAAUGGCGGUGACAAUGGGAUGCUAAGGGGCGACCCUUCGCAAAUCUCAAAAAGCCGUCUCAGUUCGGAUUGGGCUCUGCAACUCGAGCCCAUGAAGUUGGAAUCGCUAGUAAUCGUGGAUCAGCACGCCACGGUGAAUACGUUCCCGGGCCUUGUACACACCGCCCGUCACACCAUGGGAGUUGGUUUUACCUGAAGACGGUGCGCUAACCAGCAAUGGAGGCAGCCGGCCACGGUAGGGUCAGCGACUGGGGUGAAGUCGUAACGAGGUAGCCGUAGGGGAACCUGCG
This 599-nucleotide ribosomal RNA is filed under the name bacterium enrichment culture clone T47x_E5_T3_E07. RNAcentral describes it as "bacterial SSU rRNA". It matches the Rfam family "Bacterial small subunit ribosomal RNA", at positions 922 to 1516 of the family's 1533-position model. The record is from RNAcentral.